RNAcentral lists this ribosomal RNA (254 nucleotides) under uncultured bacterium. RNAcentral describes it as "partial 16S ribosomal RNA". It matches the Rfam family "Bacterial small subunit ribosomal RNA", at positions 74 to 334 of the family's 1533-position model. The record is from RNAcentral.
CAAACCAAAGCUGGCGACCGGCGCACGGGUGAGUAACACGUAUCCAACCUGCCUCAUACUCGGGGAUAGCCUUUCGAAAGAAAGAUUAAUAUCCGAUAGCAUAUAUUCCCCGCAUGGGUUUUAUAUUAAAGAAAUUCGGUAUGAGAUGGGGAUGCGUUCCAUUAGUUUGUUGGGGGGUAACGGCCCACCAAGACUACGAUGGAUAGGGGUUCUGAGAGGAAGGUCCCCCACAUUGGAACUGAGACACGGUCCAA